Molecule: long non-coding RNA, 7134 nt
Filed under: Nicotiana tabacum (common tobacco)
Lineage: Eukaryota; Viridiplantae; Streptophyta; Magnoliopsida; Solanales; Solanaceae
Description: long non-coding RNA (NTAB_LNC012998)
Source: RNAcentral
UUAUAACAAUAUGAAUAGGUUAUCUUUUGGUAUUUUGUAUAUGUGCUUCUGUGGCAUAGUAUCGUUGUGGUGUUGGGAUUCAUAUUGAAAGUGCCUCAUUGGCACUUAAACAUGUGGGGAAGAAUGCGUGUGAGUGGUUAUGGGUAUUUGAGAGUAGAGUUUAGCUCUUGGUUGGGCUACUCUCCCUGACACAAGCACUGCCCUAGGCCUUGAGAUCCUUGGAAACUUUGAACUGUCGGAGAUCCACAGAGAGCCUUGGCCUUGAACGGAACUCUACUCUUAGCCUGUAAUCUAUUGACAAUCUUUACUCCUUUUGGGUUUAGCAUUUAAUGACAACUAAAGGUCUUCAAUGUGACUCACUUCACCAUAUGUGACCCCAUAUUAGUAUAAACUUUCAAAAUUAAAAUUACUAUCGGUUUGUUAUAUUUUGUUUAUGUCAUUUACCUAUAUAUCUCAUGUAUGAUUGUAUGUAUCGAAUAUUAUAUCUAAUAACUUUCUCUCUUGCUUUCUGAACAUGUAUAACAAUUGGGCCUGUUGAAUUCUCGAAAGACCUUAGGUCCAAAUAUGCACCUGCGCACUUGAGAGUCUAAAGCCCACUGCUGUCCGUUCCUGCUAUUUGUUGGGCCUGCCUAUUUGAGGCGCAAACCCCCAGAGUCCAUUAUUUCUCAUCUCUUGUUUGUUUACUGCUUCAGUUAUUUUACAGUUUCACUAUGUCAUUACUUUUUACUGUGUUUAUGUUAUUUUAUCUCACAUGUAUAUUGGAUUGAAUGCUUCAUUUUAUCUUUUAACUCACAUAAAUUAAUUUAGGCAAGCCAUAAAGAACCUAGGAUUAAAAGAGGCAUUGGUUAACAAUUAAUUCCAUAUCCUCUAAUCAUAAACUGUUAUCCAUCUAUUAUGCUUCGGCAAAUCUUUCCUUAGAGAUUUUUUAAGCCCAAAGACAUUACAAAGGUGGAAGUCCCUCUUUCAAAAUAAAGAAUCAGAACCGAGUUGCGAGUUUAAUAUUUUCUAAAUGAGAAUCAACUAUUUUUGAAAAGAUCAAGUGUUGCUGCCCCAAAAAACAAAGGCCUUCAAAUAAUUUUUUAUCUAAAAUCGAGGUAAUAUCUUAGGUUCAUUUUCAUAAAACUUUCACCAUAUUAAGGUAAUUUGAACUUCCAUCAUUUAGGAAACAAAGUGCACUAACUUAAGCUUCUUUUUUUUGUGAAAUACUUUCGUAACAAAUGUUCCACCUUUCAAAGUUCUUUUCAAGUUUAUAUAUACUAACACUAUUUUCUUAAAGGCUUAUAUUUAAAUCCAUCCUCUUUAAACCAUAUUCUUCCCUUAUAGCUAUUAUAUCCUAAUAUAUGGUAAGCUACACUUUUAAACACUAUUUAAAAUAUAGUAUAAAUAAAUAGUCCCAAACUAGUUUACAUUCUAUGGAGCUAACCUAGGUAGAUUUUAAAGGGUGCCUAACACCAUCCCCUUAGAAGAACAAGAACUCUUAUGCAUAAUCUCACUAGUUGGUAGAAUAGUAAAGAAUAUAACCUUUAGUAAUUAAAUAGAUACUCUAGUAUACCUUUAAAUAUUAGGUGGUGACUCACUUUCAUCAACAACAAAGAAACCACAAGUUGAAUUUUGUUUUGACUAAAGCAAAAUAGGGUGCAACACCUCGGUGCAUAGGUGGGUCUAUUAUUGUGGGUGGUGGUUUGGGUCGGGGCAAAUGGUCGUGGUAGGUUUAGAUGUAUAGGCUCAGGGUGGGUUGUAGCGAUGUUGAGCGUUGUAGUAUGGUUGGGUGUUAUAUACUAGGGCAUAGGUGGGUUGAUGUGUGGGAUAAGUAUUUAUGGUGUAGGAGUUGGUUUGAUGAGGAGGACUUUACUGAUAUUGGAGAACGAUUGUCGUUAUUUCCUCUUUCUUUUUAUUCCCACAGGCUAUGGAACCAUAUUGCAUAGCCUUGCUGAUAGUUGACAGCUGGCAGCUUGCAGCAUGGCCACUGAUUGUAUUUUUCCUGACUUGAUGCUUUCCUCCAAGAAUUCUCCCAUUUUAAUCAUCUCGGGAAAUUUUUGACCAACAUACCCAUCAUCUUUUCAAAGUAUAUCCCCUUUUGGGCCCUGAUUAAAUACUUGCUUAGCUCAUUAAUAUUCAGUGGAGGUUGGGUCUUGGCGGCUUUCGAUCUCCAACGAUAAGCAUACUCUUAAAAUGAUUACGAGGGUUUAUUCUAUAAAUUGACAAAAAUGAACCUGUUUGGAGUGAUUUCGGUACUAAAUCUAAAGUGAUUCAUAAAAUCAUCUGCCAUGUCCUUCCACUCUCUCUAAUUCCGGGGACCUUGCCGUGUAUAUGAGGUAAGCAUUUCUCCUGUCAUACUCCUUAUAAACAACCUCAUUCUCAGCUUUUUAUUUCUUCCCAUUGCGACCAACUUGUCAGAAUAAACCCUCAAAUGAGCAUGAGGAUCACUUGUUCCAUCAAAAAUGUCAAACUUUGGAGGCUUAUACCCUGCGGAUAUAUCAACAUCGGGAUGCAUACACAAGUUCUCAAAAUCCAGGCUCUCGCUCCCUUAAGCAACCUAGAGGUUCCUUAUCUAUUUUCUGUACACUCAUAGUUGUUCUGACACUAAUUCAUCUUCCUUGUAUUUUGCUUCUUUCUCCAUCUCAGCAUAUUGGUCGAUCUCACAAGGCACUCUUACCAUGAAGGGCACGGUAAAGGUAGGCUUAGAGGUGGCAUAUACAGGUUGAACAUACUGCUCAUAUGUGAUGAUGUGUGUCGCAUGUGUGUGAUGGGUCUGGUUGGCAAUAGUGACGCUAUUGCGAGUAGGGGUGUGAAAUAAAUUGUUGGUGGAUGGUGGAUUUUAUGGUGUCUGGACAUAAUUCAGGGCAUAGGGUGUAUGUAUAGGGGGUUUGGCAGAUUUUUCGAGGUUAUUAGUGGUAUAACUUGGGUUGAAGAAUUUGUAGUGACAACGAUUGGGGUACUGGUUGUUUAUCGGGUUGCUGAAGGAAAAUUAUCAAGGAUUGAAUCUAAGGAAGAGAAUCAGGGUGGUUGCGGAAACAUCGUCACGACCAAGUAUGACACCUCCUGGAUCUGUUGUACUUCUUAUCUCAAUGACUCUAUUUCCUGCGCCAUCCUGGCAACGCGUUUAUCAUUUCGGGUAUUUUCUAUCAAUAAAUACCUAGUUUUAUAAAAAAAAAUUAAUUAAGUAUUAGUUUUGAAGUUAGUCACCUAAUAUUAACAUUAUGUAAUUACAAAUAUACUUACUAUUUUAAUUUAUAAAAUACAUAAUAUAGGCUUUAUAUUUAAUUUAGUGAAUUACUCCUUAAUUUCUAGAUUAAUUAGACUACUAUGGCAAUAAUUAUAAAUUAGUACAGUAAAUAGAAAAAUAAGAUAUUAUAGUUAUUAAUUAACUAAUUGUAGUAAUUAGUAGUAUAUAUGAUGGUUUUAAUUUCUAUUAUAUUUAUUGAAAUUAUUUAAGUUUAUUUAAAAUUAUUUUAAAGGGGCUAAAGACUGAAAUGGCUACAGUUGCAAAGAUCCAAUCAAAUACAAAUUGGCUAUUUGUAAAUUAAAACCAGCCCAAACAAUUGGCCGAAUCCCCUACCUGACCCACUCCAAACGCCCUCACAAGUCCAAGUUGGCAAUCUACAACUUCCUCUCUAAGCCAAUCUAUUUGCACCAUGUAGACUAUUCCCUACACUCACAAAGAAGCACAAACAAAAUCUUGACUGUUGAUUGCACCACAUAGACUAUUCCCUACACUCACAAAGAAGCACAAAUAAAUCUAGACCAUUGAUCCAACACAUAAACGGUCAGUGAUUAACUCUAGUUUUCUCUUUUUUUUAAUUCCAUCUAGAACUUCAAUCACACCAUCCAAAUACAAUUAUCUUACGGCCACAAUUCCCCUUUAAACCCUUUUUAUGCCCGAAUUUUCAGGGUCGUUGAUCAUCAGAUCCAACGGCUCAGAUCUCAUGUCCCCCUCUUAAAUCUAAAGAACAAUCCCAACUACCGAAACCCUAAAUCCAUUUCAUCGGAGACCAUGCCGUCCCCUUUUCCCUUUUGCUCUCUACUCUCCUACCAAGGUCAACAAAUCAACAACCAAAUCAUCCCUUCUGUCUUCGCUAGCCGCGAAUCCUGCCGAUUUAUUUCCCUUUUCAUUAUUUAAUUUCAAAAUGCCUAAAAUCUGGAAACCUAGCUUAAGGAUGCAACUUCAAAUCGAUCGAAUCCUCUUAUGCUCCAUCAAAUCGGGGUAUGCAUGGAGCUUCUUCAGAUAUUUAUCUUGAGAAUCUAUACCUAGAGGUCAAAUGCAAUGACCUCUUGGUUUUAGGAUUUGUCCGAUGGUCCCUUGCCUUCGACGGUCGAUUCCUCCUCUCGGGCAAAAUUCUUUAUCAUUUUUUCCUCUGUUUUCAGUCUGAUUUAUCCCUUCUUGCUAUCAUCAUCUGUCUUUCAUCAUAUUUCACUAUCGAUUUGAAUCUGCUGAAACCCUAAUGGCUCUAUGACGACUAUAAAUAGUGUCUUCAAUGCUCUCACCAAUCAACAAGAUAUACCUACUAACUAUACUUAACAUCUGAGAAUUUUAAUACUUGCUAGGGAAAUCUCGAUAAAAGUCUAUAUUUCUGCUUUUCUUUUCCUUUGGAUUUUGAGUGUGAUACUAAUUGAGAGCUUGAGCUCUUGGUUUUCCAAAAAGGCUAAUUUGAACACUCGUUUGGUUUGCUGCCCCCAAAAAGGUCAGUAAAACCUCGACUUUAUUUCUUCUUUAACUAGUUCAAAUUCCUGAAUAUGAACUGCUUUACUACCUUUGUUGAAUGAUGUUAUCAAUUAAUGUGUUCAUGUUUUUUAACUAUUUUUGUAUCUGUAUGUUGUUUAGUGGAUUCUGUUAUCAUAAACUUUCUUAAGUUGCUAAAAUCAGAAUUAUAUAUUGAUACUGAUAUGCAUCCAGUGACUCAUUCCUACUAUUAACCUUCAAAAUGACUAAAGAGAAUCAUACAUUCCUAAUACCUAGUUUCAGACCUCUUUAAUGAUUCCAUUAGCACUAUUCUGACUGUUAUGUUAAUCUCUUCUAAUGUUACUUUGUGGUUCACUUAAUAGUCUAAAUUUAACAAAGUAUGAAUCAUUUUAAUGAGAACCAGCUUGCUACAUUAGUUUAGAAAUACCAGAUCAUGACCAUUGAACAUGUUCUUAUCUCCUUAAUAUGCCUCUAUAAUCAUGUUAAUCAAUUGAUUAAACUCAUGCCUGUUUAUGUAACCUAACCUAAGUUAGUUGGAUUUUUCUAUCACUUUUGUAUAUAUUCUGAGAUUACCUUACACUUAUUUUAAGACAUGAAGUAAGAUGUAUUGACAUAUUUAUUUAGCUAAAAUCCUAUUGCUAUAUUCCAUUAUACCUGAGACCCUAUCCCCAUACAUGUUUAACAUGUUUCCCCAAAUGUAAUAUACCCUUAUCCUUUUCUUGGAACUCAUAUGAUGAUAUUAUUGGUUAUACUUGUAUAAUGUGACCUCUGUCAAGUGUCCUUUGUGUAUGCUCUUGUAAUCCUGCACUAAUUUUUUUUAUCUUUAGUGCCUCCGUUUGUCCUUUAUGACCACAUGCAUGACUGCGUUGUCUUUGAAACCUCACUAAACUCUCUUAAAUGGAUCAAACCUACCCUGUGAACUAUAAAGGAAUCUCUUGUGGCUAUUGCUGGGAUAUAACAACAUGCUUUGUUUUCAAUAGGAUUAGUGUGAAGCUAAAACUCUCACGAAGAAGUCAUUAUAUCAUUGAUUUUAAGAUUAAGCAAGAUUGAUAGCUUAGGAAUCUCUUAAUACUCCUAAAAGUCCUAAGUGAAGUUGUGAAUCUAUGACCAAUUUAUGUACUCUUGGAAGUCCUGAUUAUAGUUUGAUAUCUGUGAAAGUGCCAUUGGAAGCUCUAAUAAUGAUUACUGCUUUGAAUUUUAGAAUGUUCUAAUUGAAGUCAUCAACUUAUGCCUCUUAAUUAAGAUUAUUGGUAUGUAUCUCUAUUUGAAGUUGCUGACAUAUAUUUGUAUUGGUACUCUUUAGAGAGUUUUAGCUAUGGUUGUCAAUCUGCCCUCCCCUAAUCACCCUCAGAACUUAAUCGAAGACAUUGGUCUAUAUCUUUGUGAAUACUUUUUAAGAGAUUUAAUUGGGGUUGUUAACCCAUGUGCUAUCAAAACCUAAGUUAAAGUCAAUCUUUGAUUGCUCUAGUCGAAGGAUGUUACGGUACAUGUGUUCAUGAUUGCUGCAGACUGGGAUAUAUGUUUUUCCUAUUAUUAAAACAUAUGAUCUUAGGAGUUUUGAUUCUUUAAAAAUGAUAUGAUAAUAUCUCUGCUUCUAUGUAUGUAUGAAGCUGAUUUCAUUAAACCUGCUAUGCAUGUUACUUAGAAUGAAUCAUCCAUUUAGCUUUGAAAUAUGGUUAUAACAAUAUGAAUAGGUUGUCUUAUGGUAUUCUAUAUAUGUGCUUGUGUGGCAUGGUAUCACUGUGGUGUUGGGAUUCAUAUUGAAAGUGCCUCAUUGGCAUUUAAACAUGUGGGGAAGAAUGAGUGUGAGUGGUUAGAGGUAUUUGGGAGUAGAUCGAGUUUAGCUCUUGGUUGAGCUAGUCUCCCUAACACAAGUACUGCUCUAGGCCUUGACACUCUUGGGAACUUUGAAGUUUUGAGGAUCCAAAGAGAGUCUUGGCCUUGAACGGAACUCUACCCUUAGCCUCUAAUCUAUUGAAAUUCUUUACUCCUGUUGGGUUUAGCAUUUAAUGACAACCAAAGGUCUUCAAUGCGACUCACUUUGCCAUAGCUGACCAUUAGUAUAAACUUUCAUAAUUCAAAUUACUAUCGGUUUAUUAUAUUUUGUUUAAGUCAUUUACCUAUAUAUCUCAUGUAUGAUUGCAUGUACAGAAUAUUAUAUCAAAUGACUUUCUCUCUUGCUUUCUGAACGUGUAUAACAAUUGGGCCUGCUGAGUUCUCGAAAGAACUCAAGUCCAAAUAUGCACUGCGCACUUGGGAGUCUGAAGCCCACUGCUGUCCGUUCCUGCUCUUUACUGGGCCUACAUCUUUGAGGCCCAAACCCCCAAGAGUCCAUUCUUUCCCUUCGCUCCUUCCUUUACAACUUUAGUUAUUUUACAAUUUCACUAUGUCGUUUCUUUUACUAUGUUCAUGUUGUUUUGUCUCAUAUGUAUAUUGCAAUUAUUUAUUGAAUG